This is an RNA transcript of Lolium perenne, 2436 nucleotides long. RefSeq lists it as uncharacterized. NCBI's taxonomy places the organism in Eukaryota, Viridiplantae, Streptophyta, Magnoliopsida, Poales, Poaceae. The record is from RefSeq and is a predicted model, not a curated record.
CGUCCGUCCAACCUCCCCACGUCGCUUCGUCGUCCCGCAAAUCACGCCCCGCGGAAGAAACGUUUCGUCAAAAUGUACCCAGUCAACCCCCAACCACGUCCAUACAGCUCCUCUCCAAUCGGCACGCCGCCUGCAUCUUCGGCUCCCUCGUCCCUCCCCGCACCAUCCACCUCAUCUCGCACUGCACCCGCCAUGGCAACGGGCUGAAUGCAUCCUGCAGUGGACGGACGGUCAGCAUCUCCUGCUCCAUCCCGAGUCGAACUGAGAAUCCGCGCCGGCCGGCCUGAAUGCAUUUUCAUUUAGAACCGAAGAUCCGCGCCGCCACGCAGGAUCCGGAUUUGGCCGUGUUCCCUGGAUGCCACCGCACUGAGUUCACCGACUGGCUGGCUCAGAUCCACGCAUCCUUAUCAUCGAGAAGACACCCUCCGUGUAGCACCAGAAAUCACAUCGCUGCUGCCGCCGCCUGCAUUUCACGCUCGACCCCACUUUCCCCCGUCCCCGUUUGAGCUCGCCUUGAUUUCUAGCCGCCGCCGCCGCUGUUCCCCACCUCCGGAGCCGUGCCCUCCUCCCGUCAGUGGGGAGAAGCCGCUCCCCAACGGGAUCUCCACCUCUCCGGUGUGGGGAACGGCCACGACCUCUCUUGCCCUGCCCUGUGUCUUGUCCGGAAUUCAUCAGUCAGGCCGUCCCCAAACCUCCGCGUUUGACAAAAGAAUCACCAAUUUUGCUGAGGACAAGUUUAAGAGCGAAGGAAUAGAUCUGAGCUCCGAAGGAACACAUGACCGCUGCUGCAGUGUUGGAGUGCAGUGUCUAUGGUCGUCGAAGCGCUAAAGCCCCUAUAUUCAAAGGCCACCAGAUAUACAACUACACUCUGAAAAUGCCAUUUCUGUCGCUCUAACCGAUGGCGGCCUUUUAUAUGCACACCCAGAUUCAAGAAUUGAUAAAGUAGGCAUCGUGUUGUCUUUGAUGUCAGUUCGCAAGAACAUCUUUUCAUAUCCCAUUACACCGUGCUUUCUUCGCUAUUGCGGAAAUAAAUGAAGAAAUGUUUUGGAGAGGAUGCCAAACAAGAUGAAUGUUCAGCUGUGCAGUCCAGUGAGUUCUUCUCUCAGGUACUUAGAGGUUGUGAGCCUUAAGGGUUUGCUUCAGUUGUGAUGGAGCAUCCUUUAUGAGUGAGAGUAUUUUGUGCACAAGUGCGUGCUGGAAUGUGGCGUAAGAAUGGAGAUGCGGCUAUACUGAGUGAUGAGUGGUACCGCUUGGUGCAAUGUUAAUUUUUUACUGACCCCAUAUGCAUUGCUAUUCAAUAAUAGUUUCUGCUAUUCAAUAAUUCUUUCCAGGCUUGAACAGGGCUUGGACUCAGAUCUGUUUCUGCUUCAGUGUUGUGCUGCAUUAUAUUCGUCAGAGUUCUUCGUGAGGACCAUUCAAGAGAGAUUUGGUUUAUCAAAUUAUACAUCUUUGGAACUCGGAGAACAGAAUGAAGAAGCUUUGGUGUUGCAUUAUCAUCGAGUUCAAAGUUCUCACACUUGGGGCUUUAGCUUCUCAAUUGCAAUAGCAAUUUAUCAUGCUAAAGAUGAUACCGCUAAUGACAUGGAGUGCGGCCACCAUGAACGAGGAAUAAGAGAAUCUGAUUCGGAGGGUGAAGAGUACGACCAUUUGCUGAAUGUUGGUGGUUCCUGUGGGCAAUUGAUUAUCCCAUUUCUGCAGUUACCUCCAUAACAAAAAGUUCAGCAAAGAAUAUUUUUGGAAUGACUCGAUUGAGCAGAUGAAUGGGAUACAUAUGCUCUUGUUAGCAUGGACCUGGUUUUACAAUCAACAAACAUUUCAUCCUAUCCAUAGGAGGGAUGGCAAUUUCCUCUAAUACAGAUCUUCACUUCAGUCGCUUGUUCAGUGCAACCAAUGGAAUUCUUUGUAGGCCUCUCCUUGAAAAUUUGUGAGCAGAGCCCAGCAGGAGGAGCUUGUCCAGUUUAGCAUCUGCUGUAAUAAAGAGCACCCAUUUACAUAUUUUCAUGAAAUAAUUUUUGAUUAACUUUGCUAAUGCGAUGCUCAUGACUUCUUGUGAGAUGGAUGUGUUUACGUAUUUAUGGUGCAAGAAAGUCAAAGUGAUUGAUCUUAGCCAUCUUAUGAAGGAUCGGUCUACCCUAUACGUAUUUAUGGUGCAAGAAAGUCAAAGUGAUUGAUCUUAGCCAUCUUAUGAAGCAUCUGUCUACCCUACACGAUUUUAUGAUGCAAGAAAUUCAAAGUGAUUGAUCUUAGCCAUCUUAUGAAGCAUCUGCGGCAGUAGUUACAAAGCGAGUAAUACCUAUACAGGAGGAAAUAAACGAGGAACAAUGGUUAAAUGGUAGGAAAUUGUCAAUGUAGAAUUUUAUAAGCUACUUAUAUACAUAAUAAUAUUUCUUAUUAAAUGUUGUCAGUGUAAAAACAUAUUAUAUAUGUUUCUUUCUA